RNAcentral lists this long non-coding RNA (283 nucleotides) under Mytilus galloprovincialis (Mediterranean mussel). The record is from RNAcentral. Lineage: Eukaryota; Metazoa; Mollusca; Bivalvia; Mytilida; Mytilidae.
UUGGCAAGUAAGCCAAACCAAAGAUUUCUCAAUGAAGUUUAACUCAUCCUUACCCGAGUCAGUAGUUAUAUCUAGUAAAUUGUAGCUAUACCGAGAUCAGAACAUUUUCUUUAUUUAGAAAGAAAAAAAUAAAUAAUUUAUCAUACAUGUACAUUCAAAUGUUUUUAAUUUACCAGGUAAAUUUGCGGAAAAGUAAUAAAUACAAAUUGCGGAAACGUAUAUUUCAAAUUUGCGGAAACGUAGUAUUGGGACUUUGAAAAAUUAGCGGAAAAGCAAUACGCCC